UCACAUUGUAGCCUUUUUCUUGCCCGCAGAAACCCAGAGCUGUCUUGGUAAAACUACGAUCCUGGGUUUCGUUAACCGUUGGAUUAUUGUGAAAUUUGGAUACGUUGUUCGAAAUUCAAUUCCGCAAGCUUCCACCGUUGGGAUUUGCGAGAUAAUAUUCGUGGAGGGAUAAAAAGGAAUCGUAUGAAGACAGUACAAGUGGAGGUUUCAAUCUCUUCUCUGUCUCUCUGACAUUUGGGAAUUCUAUCGGAGCAGUCGGAUGAAUAAUUGAAAGAAUUUCCAGGAACCGCUAGAGAUGUUGUUAUCGCUGGCUGAAGACACGUGAGCCCGCUUAGAGGUAAGGGAUGAGUUUAUCGCAAUUGGGGAUUAGAAUGAACAUGUGUAGGGAUCCUUAGAGAACUAAAUUUGAGUUUAUUUUGGGAUGUUUAUUGAAUUAUAAUUUUCUCUUUAUGAUUAUAAAUAUAAUAUUAUUGUGUUCUAUGUACCAAUUGAUGUCCUGAUGAGAAUUGAUUGAUAAACUUGAGUGCUCUUGAUGUCUUUGUGUUUAACACAUGAAUCUGAUUAAUUGAUUGUGAUAUAAUUGUGAGAAACUAUUUCAGGAUUUUACACCCCAUGUUGUGAUGAAAUCUUUUGUAUAAAGUGUUAUGUUGAGGUUAUGAAAUGAUGAUUCAAACUGUGAGUAUGUGAUAAAUUGAACAUGUGACGGAUGAUGAAAUACAUGUGUAUUGAGAUGAGAUGUGUGUAUUGAGUUGUGAACUAUGAACUGUGCAAUCACACAAUUGUAAGACCCUUUAAGGGCGACGAGUAUUGUGAUGGGAUCCACUGUGGGAAUCCGACGAGUUAAAAUGAUUUUGAAAACAAUUGAGUAGAUGUGUGUAUUGCAUAGUUCAUAGGUAAAGUGUACAUGAUUCAUGAGGUGUGAUAACAUGUUAAAUUGAGAUUAUACCAUUGUGAUUGGGAUUAAGUGUAUGUGAUAAAUUGAGUAUGUAUAUGAUUGAGAUAUAUAUGUGCAUCGAGUUGUGAACUAUGAAUUGUACAAUCACACGAUCAUAAGUCCCUUCAAGGGCGACGAGUUAAUGCUAAGUCCCUUUUAGGGCGACGACUUGAUGUUAAGUCCUUUUUAGGGCGACGAGUUGAUGUUAAGUCCCUUUAAAGGCGACAGGUUAAUGAUAAGACCCUUAAAGGGCGACGAGUUAAAAUUAUUUUGAGAUUAUAAAUAUAAUAUUAUUGUGUUCUAUGUACCAAUUGAUGUCCUGAUGAGAAUUGAUUGAUAAACUUGAGUGCUCUUGAUGUCUUUGUGUUUAACCCAUGAAUCUGAUUAAUUGAUUGUGAUAUAAUUGUGAGAAACUAUUUCAGGAUUUUACACCCCAUGUUGUGAUGAAAUCUUUUGUAUAAAUUGUUAUGUUGAGGUUAUGAAAUGAUGAUUCAAACUGUGAGUAUGUGAUAAAUUGAACAUGUGACGGAUGAUGAAAUACAUGUGUAUUGAGAUGAGAUGUGUGUAUUGAGUUAUGAACUAUGAACUGUGCAAUCACACAAUUGUAAGACCCUUUAAGGGCGACGAGUUAAUGUUAAGUCCCUUUAAGGGCGACGAGUUAAUGAUAAGACCCUUAAAGGGCAACGAGUUAAAAUUAUUUUGAGAACAAUUGAGGAGUCGUGUGUUUUGUACAGUUCAUAGAUAGAGUCUGUGUGCUAAAAUAAUUUUAGUGGUUGGACCUGAAUCAGGAGGGAGAGGCCCUGACAGACUCUUCGGAGUGUAGGCCUUGGGGGUCACCGGGUUUGAGUGCUCCUUUAAGCCUAUGUUGAUCCCAUAUGGUUGGAGCAUUCUCGCAAAACAUCGUGACCCUGACUGGUCUCCCUAUGAUCUUACUUAGUGAGAGUGACCUGACAAACCCAUUGUGUGGUGUGUCUUGUUAUGUACUCCUAAGCGCCCCAGGGUGGUUUUUCACUGACAUGGUACCACAUUGCAUAUAGGCUUGAGUCUUAGCAUAACUGUCGCAUACGCUUGCUAAUUGUUUAUUAUGAAAUUGAUGUGUUAUUAUGUCUUGAUCGGAGUGUGUGAUUCCUGUGUAUAAUGAUUGAUGAUUGAAAGGUGUGAUUGAUGAAUGACAAAGUGAUGAAAUAAUGUGAGAUAUGCUAAGUAAAUUGUAUUUGGCUACUAUAUGUUGUGUUGUUUCUCUCUAGUAGUUAGCAAUGUGAUAACUCACUCCCGGUUUGUUGUUUGUGUUUGGAUCCUGUGAUGAUCUUGAACUUUGUGUUCGGGGGAGCAGAUGAAUAGGUGGAUGACUAUGAAGAACCUCAUGCUAGAGGACACGGGAACACCACGCUCUGAUAGGAUGUG
This 2338-nucleotide long non-coding RNA is filed under the name Glycine max (soybean). Its description in RNAcentral is "long non-coding RNA (GMAX_LNC003437)". The record is from RNAcentral. Lineage: Eukaryota; Viridiplantae; Streptophyta; Magnoliopsida; Fabales; Fabaceae.